Molecule: ribosomal RNA, 464 nt
Filed under: uncultured bacterium
Lineage: Bacteria
Description: partial 16S ribosomal RNA
Rfam family: Bacterial small subunit ribosomal RNA
Source: RNAcentral
ACGCACGCUGGCGGCGUGCUUAACACAUGCAAGUCGAACGGAAAGGCCCUGCUUGCAGGGUACUCGAGUGGCGAACGGGUGAGUAACACGUGGGUGAUCUACCCUGCACUUCGGGAUAAGCCUGGGAAACUGGGUCUAAUACCGGAUAGGAGCCAUUUUUAGUGUGAUGGUUGGAAAGUUUUUUCGGUGUAGGAUGAGCUCGCGGCCUAUCAGCUUGUUGGUGGGGUAAUGGCCUACCAAGGCGGCGACGGGUAGCCGGCCAGAGAGGGUGGACGGCCACAUUGGGACUGACGUGCGGCCCAGGCUGCUAAGGGAGGCAGCAGUGGGGAAUAUUGAACAAUGAGCGCAGGCCUGGUGCAGAGACGCCGCGUGGGGGAUGACGGCCUUCGGGUUGUAAACUCCUUUCGCUAGGGACGAAGCUUUUUGUGACGGUACCUAGAUAAGAAGCACCGGCUAACUACGUG